This 459-nucleotide ribosomal RNA is filed under the name uncultured bacterium. RNAcentral's name for it is "partial 16S ribosomal RNA". It matches the Rfam family "Bacterial small subunit ribosomal RNA", at positions 338 to 795 of the family's 1533-position model. The record is from RNAcentral.
CCUACGGGAGACAGCAGUGAGGAAUAUUGGUCAAUGGGCGGGAGCCUGAACCAGCCAAGCCGCGUGAGGGAAGAAGGUACAGCGUAUCGUAAACCUCUUUUGUCAGGGAACAAAGGCGGGGACUAGUCCCCGGAUGAGGGUACCUGGAGAAAAAGCAUCGGCUAACUCCGUGCCAGCAGCCGCGGUAAUACGGAGGAUGCGAGCGUUAUCCGGUUUUAUGGGGUUUAAGGGGUGCGCAGGCGGCCUGUUAAGUCAGCGGUAAAAGCCCGGGGCUCAACCCCGGCGAGCCGUUGAAACUGGCGGGCUGGAGUUGGAGAGAGGUACGCGGAAUGCGCGGUGUAGCGGUGAAAUGCUUAGAUAUCGGGCAGAACCCCGAUUGCGAAGGCAGCGUACCGGCUCCACACUGACGCUGAGGCACGAAAGCGUGGGUAUCGAACAGGAUUAGAUACCCUGGUAGUC